UAUACACUAAAACUGCUUUAUUUAGCUAAAGUAAUGUAGGUGACUAUAGUGUUCCUUUAAUUGAAACACAACACGCUUGGCUUAUGGGAACAUUUAGUGUAAAUAUGAUAGAUAGAUUCUUCUGUAUUUUAAUCUUUCACUGAGUAAAAAGUAAAAUUCUGCAUCUCGUUAUUCCGGCUGGAAGAAAUGCAUUUAAUGCAGAAAUUAAUAAGCUUCAAAAUUCUCAGACCUUAUAAUAUGUAGAAUUAUUGUUUGCGCCAUUCAUUAAUCCGCACAUGAUUCAGACGUUAUUAACACCAACACAUAGUAAGAGGAGUUUCACGUGAGCCUUUGUGUAUAUAAAAAUCAUUUUAGGGAUUUUGCUGAAAUACGC
Molecule: non-coding RNA, 373 nt
Organism: Pelobates cultripes (western spadefoot toad)
Lineage: Eukaryota; Metazoa; Chordata; Amphibia; Anura; Pelobatidae
Source: the annotation of a GenBank genome assembly